UACGUAGGGUGCAAGCGUUGUCCGGAAUUAUUGGGCGUAAAGAGCUCGUAGGCGGUUUGUCGCGUCUGCUGUGAAAACUCGGGGCUUAACUCCGGGCCUGCAGUGGGUACGGGCAGACUAGAGUGCGGUAGGGGAGACUGGAAUUCCUGGUGUAGCGGUGAAGUGCGCAGAUAUCAGGAGGAACACCGGUGGCGAAGGCGGGUCUCUGGGCCGUAACUGACGCUGAGGAGCGAAAGCGUGGGGAGCGAACAGG
This 253-nucleotide ribosomal RNA is filed under the name uncultured bacterium. Its description in RNAcentral is "partial 16S ribosomal RNA". It matches the Rfam family "Bacterial small subunit ribosomal RNA", at positions 524 to 776 of the family's 1533-position model. The record is from RNAcentral.